UCCCCUCCCUCCCCCUCCUUAUCAGUCACAGUGUAAGUGCUUACAGGGGCUGCAGUCACUAAGUGUGGGAUCAGGGCGGCCAGGAGGUGGUUAAUCUUCUCCCUUUGUGCUGAGUGUGCUGAGCUCCUGUGUGUGAGGGAGAAGUCUCCACCAAUCAGAGCCCAGCUGGCAGAGGGAAGGGGCGGGGUUAUCUCUCUCCUCUCCAUCUCUACAUAUCACAGCCCAGCACAGCCCAUAGCAACCAAUCAGAUCGCUUCUUUCAUUCUUAACAAGACCUCUGAAAAAGAAGUGAUCUGAUUGGUUGCUAUGGGCAACUGGUCACCUUUUCCUCUCCACAGGUUUUGAUCCCUGAUUGUCUUCAUAUCUAGGAUGAGAAUCUUCUGACACAGGAUCAGUAAUUAGAGAUCAGUGGGGACCCAGGCACCAUCAGAACAGCAAUGGUGAGGAACUGCAAUAAUUUGCUUUGCAACAAAUCCGAAUAUCGCCGCGAUUUGAUCACACAAAUCCUUCAUUAAACUCCAUUUAAUGCGGUCCAGGCUCCAGGGCAUCUAAAAUGGAGGAUCCACAUGUGAGGACAUGGGGCAAGGAACUCUGGGAAGGCAGGAACAACGAAUAGACCUGCUGCCUGCAGUAACAAGUGUUUGGGUGAUCAUUUGAAGACGCCAACCUAUGUUUAGAAUCAAAGUGAGAAGUUUAAUUUAGAUCUGUGUUGCAGUAAUCUGAGAAGAAAUCAUAGCUGACCAAUAGGGGUCACCAGAACAUCCAGAGGCUGUCCGGCUGUAGCAUCUUCUAUGUCCCACCUGGAGCACAGACAUGGACAAAGUCCAUGUUCCAGAACCUCUGCUUGUGACCUUACCUUGCACCUUUGCCGCCUGCCUCCUGACCUUGUGCCUGUGACCUGACCACACUUCUCUGCUGCCUGCCCUUGACCUUCUGCUACAGCUGACUAUUCUUGUGUACUCCAGUGCCAAGUUUCGACUAGGCAGCCUGUGUGGACCAAUCAUGUCAGGGGUAGCGACCUGGGUGCCGCCUGCUCCAGCAAGCCCAUCCCGCUUUGCGGCGGGCUUUGGUGAAAACCAGCGGCACCUUAGACUCCGCUCCCUGCUACGGUUCAGUCAUUGUUCACACAGGUCCAGCGGAUCCACUUCCUCUAGCCGCUUACAUUUUACAUGUGAUUUAUUGUAUUUUGCCCAGUAUAGCUGACACUGCAAGCUGUAACAAGGGUUAAAGCACAUACACACACUUACACACACACACAGGUUAUGCAGAGAUUUCACUGGAGUUAGUUCAACUUAUGAGCCAAAGCACAUGUCAGGUGUACUUCAGGGAAGUCCAAUAAAGGCCCUUUUUCACCUGUCCCUAGCUGAGUACGAGUUAAUAACACAAGUUGAGACAGAGAGGAGAACACCAGGAGAGUCCGAGAGAGAAAUACUAAAAUUAAAGGGGUAUUCCAGGA
Hyla sarda is the source of this 1456-nucleotide long non-coding RNA. RefSeq lists it as uncharacterized. The record is from RefSeq and is a predicted model, not a curated record. Lineage: Eukaryota; Metazoa; Chordata; Amphibia; Anura; Hylidae. The transcript is spliced from 6 exons.